GUAGGUGGCAAGCGUUGUCCGGAAUUAUUGGGCGUAAAGCGCGCGCAGGCGGUUCUUUAAGUCUGAUGUGAAAGCCCACGGCUCAACCGUGGAGGGUCAUUGGAAACUGGAGAACUUGAGUACAGAAGAGGAAAGCGGAAUUCCACGUGUAGCGGUGAAAUGCGAAGAGAUGUGGAGGAACACCAGUGGCGAAGGCGGCUUUCUGGUCUGUAACUGACGCUGAGGCGCGAAAGCGUGGGGAGCAAACAGGAUUAGAUACCCUGGUAGUCCACGCCGUAAACGAUGAGUGCUAAGUGUUAGGGGGUUUCCGCCCCCCUUAGUGCUGCAGCUAACGCAUUAAGCACUCCGCCUGGGAGUACGGCCGCAAGGCUG
RNAcentral lists this ribosomal RNA (372 nucleotides) under uncultured organism. RNAcentral's name for it is "partial 16S ribosomal RNA". It matches the Rfam family "Bacterial small subunit ribosomal RNA", at positions 527 to 896 of the family's 1533-position model. The record is from RNAcentral.